UUUGUAGAAUUAAUUAUGAUCUUGUUUUUGAAGUAAGUUUUAGUCCUUUUGUUUCAUUUCACACAUUUAUAUUUUCUUACUAGAAAACAGAAUAUCAGAAAACUAGAAACUAAAAAAGCCAGGAUUAAUUGUAAUCAUGCCAUCUAUAGAUAAUGACUUUCAAUUGGUAGAGUAAAUCCUACCAGACUUUGUUUUUAAAGAAAAUGUAGUCAUGGUACACAUGUUGUACCUUUACCUGAUUUUAUAAUAUAGUCAAAAAUAUGAUUGGUAUUUCAGUAUAUAGAG
Molecule: long non-coding RNA, 285 nt
Filed under: Bos taurus (domestic cattle)
Lineage: Eukaryota; Metazoa; Chordata; Mammalia; Artiodactyla; Bovidae
Description: long non-coding RNA NONBTAT009397
Source: RNAcentral